GUGGAGGUAGCUCAGUGGUAGAGUGUAUGCCUGAUAUGCAUAAGAUCCUGGGUUCAAGCCCCAGCACCUCAUU
Non-coding RNA from Sorex fumeus (smoky shrew), 73 nucleotides. Lineage: Eukaryota; Metazoa; Chordata; Mammalia; Eulipotyphla; Soricidae. The record is from the annotation of a RefSeq genome assembly.